UACAUGAUAGGAGGAGAGAGGUGAAUCUUUGUAUCCAUGUGAGAGUACAUGAUAGGAGGAGAGAGGUGAAUCUUUGUAUCCAUGUGAGAGUACAUGAUAGGAGGAGAGAGGUGAAUCUUUGUAUCCAUGUGAGAGUACAUGAUAGGAGGAGAGAGGUGAAUCAUUGUAUCCAUGUGAGAGUACAUGAUAGGAGGAGAGAGGUGAAUCUUUGUAUCCAUGUGAGAGUACAUGAUAGGAGGAGAGAGGUGAAUCUUUAUAUCCAUGUGAGAGUACAUGAUAGGAGGAGAGAGGUGAAUCUUUGUAUCCAUGUGAGAGUACAUGAUAGGAGGAGAGAGGUGAAUCUUUGUAUCCAUGUGAGAGUACAUGAUAGGA
This is a long non-coding RNA of Protopterus annectens (West African lungfish), 372 nucleotides long. RefSeq lists it as uncharacterized. The transcript has 3 exons. NCBI's taxonomy places the organism in Eukaryota, Metazoa, Chordata, Ceratodontiformes, Protopteridae. The record is from RefSeq and is a predicted model, not a curated record.